AUGCACGCUGGCGGCGUGCUUCACACAUGCAAGUCGCACGAUGAAGCCCAGCUUGCUGGGUGGAUUAGUGGCGAACGGGUGAGUAACACGUGAGUAACCUGCCCUUAACUCUGGGAUAAGCCUGGGAAACUGGGUCUAAUACCGGAUAGGAGCGUCCACCGCAUGGUGGGUGUUGGAAAGAUUUAUCGGUUUUGGAUGGACUCGCGGCCUAUCAGCUUGUUGGUGAGGUAAUGGCUCACCAAGGCGACGACGGGUAGCCGGCCUGAGAGGGUGACCGGCCACACUGGGACUGAGACACGGCCCAGACUCUGACGGGAGGCAGCAGUGGGGAAUAUUGCACAAUGGGCGCGAGCCUGAUGCAGCGACGCCGCGUGAGGGAUGACGGCCUUCGGGUUGUAAACCUCUUUCAGUAGGGAAGAAGCGAAAGUGACGGUACCUGCAGAAGAAGCACCGGCUAACUACGUG
This 465-nucleotide ribosomal RNA is filed under the name uncultured bacterium. Its description in RNAcentral is "partial 16S ribosomal RNA". It matches the Rfam family "Bacterial small subunit ribosomal RNA", at positions 29 to 507 of the family's 1533-position model. The record is from RNAcentral.